This 453-nucleotide ribosomal RNA is filed under the name embryophyte environmental sample. RNAcentral describes it as "eukaryotic LSU rRNA". The stretch from base 49 to 204 matches the Rfam family "5.8S ribosomal RNA". Lineage: Eukaryota; Viridiplantae; Streptophyta. The record is from RNAcentral.
GAGACGGUGUCCCGCGGGAGUCGUCACGACACAACAUUUACAUACAAUGACUCUCGGCAACGGAUAUCUCGGCUCUUGCAUCGAUGAAGAACGUAGCGAAAUGCGAUACUUGGUGUGAAUUGCAGAAUCCCGUGAACCAUCGAGUCUUUGAACGCAAGUUGCGCCCGAAGCCAUUAGGCCGAGGGCACGCCUGCCUGGGUGUCACACAUCGUUUCCCCAACGCAAACAUGUAACAAUGUUGCUGCGCGGGGUGUAUGCUGACCUCCCGCGAGCACCCGCCUCGUGGUUGGUUGAAAUCUGGGUUCAUGGCCGACUUCGCCGUGAUAAAAUGGUGGAUGAGCCACGCUCGAGACCAGUCACGUGCGAGCCGGUCAGUUCUGGACCCAUCGACGACCCUUUGCGUGCACGCACGCUCCCAACGAGACCUCAGGUCAGGCGGGGCUACCCGCUGAG